Molecule: ribosomal RNA, 372 nt
Filed under: uncultured bacterium
Lineage: Bacteria
Description: bacterial SSU rRNA
Rfam family: Bacterial small subunit ribosomal RNA
Source: RNAcentral
GUAGUCCACGCCCUAAACGAUGAUCACUAGGUGUUGGCGGAGCAAUCUGCUGGUACCGUAGCUAACGCGUGAAGUGAUCCGCCUGGGGAGUACGGUCGCAAGAUUAAAACUCAAAGGAAUUGACGGGGACCCGCACAAGCGGUGGAUGAUGUGGAUUAAUUCGAUGCAACGCGAACAACCUUACCUACCCUUGACAUGUCCGGAAGCCCGCUGAGAGGCGGGGGUGCCUGAAAGGGAACCGGAACACAGGUGCUGCAUGGCUGUCGUCAGCUCGUGUCGUGAGAUGUUGGGUUAAGUCCCGCAACGAGCGCAACCCUUGUCCUUAGUUGCUACGCAAGGGCACUCUAAGGAGACUGCCGGUGACAAACCGGA